RNAcentral lists this ribosomal RNA (514 nucleotides) under uncultured bacterium. RNAcentral describes it as "partial 16S ribosomal RNA". It matches the Rfam family "Bacterial small subunit ribosomal RNA", at positions 28 to 523 of the family's 1533-position model. The record is from RNAcentral.
GACGAACGCUGGCGGCGUGCCUAAUACAUGCAAGUCGAGCGGACCGAAGGGAGCUUGCUCCUUUAGGUUAGCGGCGGACGGGUGAGUAACACGUGGGCAACCUGCCCUGCAGACUGGGAUAACUUCGGGAAACCGGAGCUAAUACCGGAUAACACCGAAAACCGCAUGGUUUUCGGUUGAAAGGCGGCUUUUAGCUGUCACUGCAGGAUGGGCCCGCGGCGCAUUAGCUAGUUGGUGAGGUAACGGCUCACCAAGGCGUCGAUGCGUAGCCGACCUGAGGGGGUGACCGGCCACACUGGGACUGAGGCACGGCCCAGACUCCUACGGGAGGCAGCAGUAGGGAAUCUUCCGCAAUGGACGAAAGUCUGACGGAGCAACGCCGCGUGAGCGAAGAAGGCCUUCGGGUCGUAAAGCUCUGUUGUCAGGGAAGAACAAGUACCGUUCGAAUAGGGCGGUACCUUGACGGUACCUGACGAGGAAGCCACGGCUAACUACGUGCCAGCCGCCGCAGUAA